Phyllopteryx taeniolatus (common seadragon) is the source of this 752-nucleotide long non-coding RNA. RefSeq lists it as uncharacterized. NCBI's taxonomy places the organism in Eukaryota, Metazoa, Chordata, Actinopteri, Syngnathiformes, Syngnathidae. The transcript has 3 exons. The record is from RefSeq and is a predicted model, not a curated record.
GAAAAACAAUUCCAGGUCGCUGCGCCCUUUUCCAAGCGCUGAUGGAACAUUCAUCUCAUUGAGGGAUAAACACGGCGAGUUCUCUUCUGCUGCACUUCUUUUUAUGCGCGCUCCAUUCUCAGGGAGCGAGCACGUGCGUGUGUGCGUGUGCGUGUGCAUGUGUGUGUGUGUGUUCAGUGCUAACUCCUCUUCUCAGUUCUUCCUCCAGUGCCUAAAACGCGAAACGGGGAACUCAAGUCGCUCACCGCGGCCUUGACGAGGCAGGCGUCCUCUCCCAGGUAGCACAGCUCGCCCGAGCAGCUGGUCUCCAUCCACAGGUGGUCCCCGUUGACCGCGUUCUCCUGCCGGGCGAGGUCAGGAGGAUAGAUCAGCCAGUGGCAAAUUAAUCAUGACAAUUAUACCCGCUCCCCUCGGGCAGGAGGCUCCGGAGCAUCCGAUGCAGGACCACCGGGCUGAGGAACAGCUUCGUUACGGAAGGGCGCUAAAGGCCGGCGGUGGCGGAAGGAAACCUCUCUGCGGUCAGAGCCACAGGAGAGUGUCGGAUGAGUGUCGAUUUGCACCUGCCAAAGAAUCAAUCACGCGGUACGAGUGACUCCAUACGUGACGAAUGACUUCACAGCGAGCGGCAGUUCGGCACACUGAACAAUCCUUCCAAUAAUGAGGCUUCAAGCUGUUUAUUGCCACUCCCAGUUGCAGUUUACUGGCAAAUUAAACAUGAAAACAAAGCUUUUUACACGUUUGUUUAUCUUCAU